UGCGGAUGGGAAUACAUGUUAUGGCAUGAACCCUCCCCCCAUCUCUCCAAGGCCUUAAGCACUGCAGUCAGCGCAUAUAGAUCUCUCAAAAUGAUGGGUCACAAAAGGCUGCUUCUUGCCUGUGGCUCAAGGCUGGUCUCUCACAAUGGCUCUUUUUCAACAUCUGCCAUGGCUCACAAGAGCUACAAGCUGGUGGUGGUGGGAGGAGGUGCUGGAGGCUGUGCCACGGCUGCCAAGUUUUCCUCCAAGCUGGGUGCUGGCAGCGUGGUAGUGAUUGAGCCGGCUGACACCCACUACUACCAGCCCAUGUGGACUCUGGUGGGUGGAGGCAUGAAGAGGCUGGAGGACUCUGGCCGGCCCAUGAGUCAGGUCCUCCCCAAGAAGGCAGACUGGAUCAAGCAGCGAGUAGUGACCUUUGACCCUCAUAAGAACAAGGUCAUAACCCAGGAUGGCCAAGAGAUCAGCUAUGAAUUCCUAGUGGUUGCUCUCGGUAUUCAGCUCAAUUACAAUCAGAUCAAAGGCUUACCUGAUGCCUUUGAGACUCCUGGUGUGUGCUCCAACUACUCCCCUCAUUAUGUUAACAACACUCUAGAGAGUCUAAAGAACUUUAAAGAGGGAAAUGCUCUCUUCUCCUUCCCCAACACUCCCAUCAAAUGUGCUGGAGCUCCUCAGAAGAUCAUGUACAUUUCCGACCAAUAUCUCCGUAAGCAUGGGAAGCGUGAUAAGGCCAACAUCCAGUACUUCACUUCCCUGCCAGUCAUCUUUGGCAUCAAGAAGUAUGCUGAUGCCUUAUGGGAGGUGGUGAAGGAGCGAGACAUCACUGUCAACCUGCGCCACAAUCUCAUUGAGGUGAAGCCAGACUCCCGGGAAGCCGUGUUCCAGAACCUAGAAAACCCUGAUGACCUCAAGACUAUCAAGUAUGAGAUGCUUCAUGUGACACCCCCAAUGAGUUCACCAGACCCCCUCCGUCAGUGUGCCGCUCUCACCAAUGAGACGGGCUAUUUGAAUGUGAACAAGCACACUCUGCAGCAUGUCACCUUCCCUAAUGUGUUUGGCAUUGGUGACUGCACCAGUGUUCCUACCUCCAAGACUGCAGCCGCUGUGGCUGGCCAGUUUGGAGUGAUGAAGAGGAACCUGAGCCUGGUAAUGGGUGGUGCCUCCCCCAAACACCAGUAUGACGGUUACACCUCCUGCCCUCUAGUUACUGGUUACAACAAGUGCAUCCUGGCAGAAUUUGACAUGGAUGGGAAUCCACUAGAGACCUUCCCCAUCAACCAGGCCAAGGAGCGGCGCACCAUGUUCCACCUCAAGAAGGACAUGAUGCCAACCAUGUACUGGAAUGGAAUGCUUAACCUGUCAUGUCCAAGAGAAAGAACUGUACCAUACGACAGCAAUGUUGCCUAAAAAUGAAUGCCUACAAAACAAGUACAUAUAUGAAAAAUGCAAAGCGGAAGUAAAUUACAUCCAGGUCACAAGUCCUGGAUAGGCUACUGGGAGGGACCAAAGUACCUGAGAAAACUUAUGCACCUGGGAAUGAAGUGAAGAGAAAAAGAACACUUGAGUAAAUGUGUUGAUUAAAGUUUUAUUUUUGUAGUAAAAUUCAUUGAGGUAGGUGUCUG
Molecule: unclassified non-coding RNA, 1619 nt
Filed under: Portunus trituberculatus (swimming crab)
Lineage: Eukaryota; Metazoa; Arthropoda; Malacostraca; Decapoda; Portunidae
Description: sulfide:quinone oxidoreductase, mitochondrial-like, transcript variant X1
Source: RNAcentral